GAAAUAAAGGAAUGGCGAGAUUAGUAUUUCAUUCCCAAUUUUGGACAGAGAUUCCAAACAAGGGGACAGUCCAAGGGUGGAAGAGAAACCCUUUGGAAAGAGACGACGUUCCUCAAAGUCAUCAAGACCAGCUCCUUUUUACUUUCGCUAAAUUCCGAAAGUACAAAGGCACUUUCCAUUUGGAUUACUUUCGCGUUCUUUCUCUUUCACGCCAAUGCACCUGACAAACAACACCUGGAUUUUAAAAUCCCAUUUCUGCACGGGAUUUUACCAAGUCGCCCUCCGUGUGAUAAAGUCCUGAGUUAUUUUUGCAGUGCAGAUGCAGCCUAAGAGAGAAGAAGACAUCUUGCAGAUGGAGGAGGUGGAUAGAAGAAGCAAAUCUGCAGCAAUGAAAGGUAAUCUAUCAAUGGUGCCCAGUCCUUUUUAACUUCAUCCCAGUUGGAAUCUUUUAACAUACAACUCCUGGUCUCCCAUGAAGAGAUGGCUGAAGGGGAAGGGGAGCUCCUGAAUCUGGGUCUGGGGGAACUCUGCAAGGAAGUCAAGAUAGAGAAUGAUG
Long non-coding RNA from Sceloporus undulatus (fence lizard), 556 nucleotides. RefSeq lists it as uncharacterized. Lineage: Eukaryota; Metazoa; Chordata; Lepidosauria; Squamata; Phrynosomatidae. The transcript has 4 exons. The record is from RefSeq and is a predicted model, not a curated record.